GUAUGCAGUGGAGACACAAAUUUCAGAGUCAUCUGAAUAAAGAUGGCAUUUAAAUCCACAAGAGUAGAUGAGAUCAUAAAGGAUGUGAUUGUGAAUAGAAAAUGGAAGCCGUCCAAGGCCUGAGCUGUAUUAUUUAAAGGGGAGAAGAGGGAAUGACCUGGAGAAGGAAAAUCUGUCUAAAAAGGAGCAGCCAGUAAGGGAGACCAUGAUGAUGACAUUUGGAAGCAUCUCAGGAGACAAGAAUAAAACACCAUUUUUUUCCCACUUCGCUAACAACUCAGUGUUCUGAAAAGUCUGGAAUGUGCUAUGAAAAGUUUGUGUGCUUAGUGAAAUGUUGUACAAUUGGCCAAUCCACUAAGUCUUGGGAAAUGUCUUAGGAGCUUGGCAAGAAGAAGUUCUCAAGAGAGCCUGAAUGCUGCCAGUUUCCAAUUGGCCAAGACACAUUACAAGGACAACUGUCUCUCUGAGCAACCUGGCAUUUCCACUCCAAUUGGAAUCUGCAAGGGGAAGAUGCGCAGGGGAAGAAGAUUAAACAAACCUUUUCAGA
Gorilla gorilla gorilla (western lowland gorilla) is the source of this 547-nucleotide long non-coding RNA. RefSeq lists it as uncharacterized. NCBI's taxonomy places the organism in Eukaryota, Metazoa, Chordata, Mammalia, Primates, Hominidae. The record is from RefSeq and is a predicted model, not a curated record. The transcript is spliced from 2 exons.